RNAcentral lists this ribosomal RNA (503 nucleotides) under uncultured bacterium. RNAcentral's name for it is "bacterial SSU rRNA". It matches the Rfam family "Bacterial small subunit ribosomal RNA", at positions 15 to 518 of the family's 1533-position model. The record is from RNAcentral.
GAUCCUGGCUCAGGAUGAACGCUGGCGGCGUGCCUAACACAUGCAAGUCGAACGGAAACCAGACGCUUCGGAGACUUCGGUCAAUGUUGUUGGUUUAGUGGCGGACGGGUGAGUAACGCGUGGAUAACCUGCCUCAUACAGGGGGAUAACAGUUAGAAAUGACUGCUAAUACCGCAUAAGCGCACGGGAUCGCAUGUUCCUGUGUGAAAAACUCCGGUGGUAUGAGAUGGAUCCGCGUCUGAUUAGCUAGUUGGCGGGGUAACAGCCCACCAAGGCGACGAUCAGUAGCCGGCCUGAGAGGGUGAACGGCCACAUUGGGACUGAGACACGGCCCAAACUCCUACGGGAGGCAGCAGUGGGGGAUAUUGCACAAUGGGGGAAACCCUGAUGCAGCCGACGCCGCGUGAGUGAAGAAGUAUUUCGGUAUGUAAAGCUCUAUCAGCAGGGAAGAUAAUGACGGUACCUGACUAAGAAGCACCGGCUAAAUACGUGCCAGCAGCCGC